AUUACAGAACAAUAAAUAUGUUUGGUUAAUUUGCUAGUUGAGAUUGGAUUGUAUAGCUACUCAGUAGCAAAUAAGGAGUUUGAAGAAUAAAAGGUAGAAAAAGGACUUCUAUAGCAGAGUUUGGGGCGAGGAACUAAAAGAAGAAUAGGACUUCAAUAUCCAGGCUCUAAAAUCAUGAAUAUAGGGAUGAGAGGAGAAAAGUAUAAGGGAGAGAGGUAAAAGAAGCUUGUUAAAGGAAGUACAUAUACACUG
Molecule: unclassified non-coding RNA, 252 nt
Filed under: Hevea brasiliensis (rubber tree)
Lineage: Eukaryota; Viridiplantae; Streptophyta; Magnoliopsida; Malpighiales; Euphorbiaceae
Source: RNAcentral